CGACUGGGUGGGCCGGCCCGGCCCGGCCGCCCUGCUGGGGCUGCCCGGCAGCGUGGUACAGGCCGGGAUGGUCGGC
This 76-nucleotide transfer RNA is filed under the name Plantactinospora mayteni. Its description in RNAcentral is "tRNA-Ser". The record is from RNAcentral. Lineage: Bacteria; Bacillati; Actinomycetota; Actinomycetes; Micromonosporales; Micromonosporaceae.